UGUAUUUUAUUUCGACUCGAACUAUUUUGUUGGAAGUUAUCGCGAGAUUUGUGUACAUGCGUGAGGCUGCGAGAUUUGAAUAAACAUAGAAGAAGCAGAAGCCUGGAACCUAGCUACACGCAGCAGCCUCGUGUCUCCGUUAGCAGUCAAGAGUGAACAACGACGAAUUAUUCAGUUAAAGACCUCCGAAGUGGCAGGCGGCCACGAGUUUUCACGGCGUUUAAUAAAGAGCCCGUCAAAAGGAAGCCGUGCCAGUGUUGUCGCUUUGGAGUUACAGUGAAAACUCGCCCAGCCAGCGCCGGUAAGAAGCUCGUUAAGACGACGGCAGCUGCAGUGAGUGACGGUACCGUGGUGCAACACAAGAGGGCGCCAUUGGACAAGCUCAACUUUCACAAGAAGUCAAGCACAGCAGCAACAACCAUGUACAACUGAAGUAAGGUGGAAAUUAAAAAAGGACAGUGUUAAAAGUAGAAAAGGAGUGGUUUAAGUGAAG
Long non-coding RNA from Gambusia affinis (western mosquitofish), 493 nucleotides. RefSeq lists it as uncharacterized. The transcript has 3 exons. Lineage: Eukaryota; Metazoa; Chordata; Actinopteri; Cyprinodontiformes; Poeciliidae. The record is from RefSeq and is a predicted model, not a curated record.